Molecule: small nuclear RNA, 141 nt
Filed under: Aotus nancymaae (Ma's night monkey)
Lineage: Eukaryota; Metazoa; Chordata; Mammalia; Primates; Aotidae
Description: U4 spliceosomal RNA (ENSANAG00000007121.1)
Rfam family: U4 spliceosomal RNA
About the family: U4 small nuclear RNA (U4 snRNA) is a component of the major U2-dependent spliceosome. The structure of U4 snRNA from yeast and human has been reported. U4 snRNA presents a k-turn RNA motif in the 5p-SL related to recognition of Snu13 protein.
Source: Rfam by way of RNAcentral
AGCUUUGCACAGUGACAGUAUCAUAGCCAAUGAGGUUUAUCCAAGGAGUGAUUAUUGCUAAUUGAAAACUUUUCCCAAUACCCAGCCGUGACAAAUUGCAAUAUAGUUGGCAUUGGCAAUUUUUAACAGUCUUUGUGGAGA